AUGGCGAGGGGGGCGAGGUCGAGGAGGACGCCGGCGGGGGAGGAGGACGCGGAGAAGGAGUACGAGGUGGACGUGGAGCCCGACCGGUGGAAGUCGUCGUCGUCGCGGAACAGCCGGCUCGAGCUCAUGGGCCGCCUCCCCCCGCUCCGCCGCCUAAGCCGCAUCCCGGGAGCCGCAGACGCCGACGCCGGGGGCGGGUUCCUCCGCGGCCUCGUCAUCCACCCCGACAACAAGUUGUACCGGUCAUGGACUAGGUUCAUAGUGGGUUGGGCAGUGUACAGUUCCUUCCUUACACCCUUCGAAUUUGGAUUCUUCAGGGGACUCCCUAAGAAAUUGUUCUUCUUGGACAUAGUUGGUCAGGUUGCCUUCCUUGUUGAUAUUGUCCUGAAGUUUCUUGUGGCCUACCGUGACCCUGACACAUACCGCAUCGUAUACAAUCCAAACUCUAUAGCCCUCCGGUAUUGCAAAUCAAGCUUCAUUUUUGAUCUCCUUGGUUGCUUUCCAUGGGAUGCUAUCUACAAGGCUUCUGGCCAUAAAGAAGAACUGAGAUACCUACUAUGGAUUCGCUUAACACGAGUGCUGAAGGUCAGGGAAUUCUUCACAGAAUUGGAAAAGGACAUCCGUGUGAAUUACCUGUUCACAAGAAUAGUAAAACUCAUAGUUGUGGAGCUCUAUUGUACACACACAGCAGCUUGUAUCUUCUAUUACCUGGCAACAACACUUCCUGAAUCAAUGGAGGGAUAUACAUGGAUCGGGAGCUUGCAGCUAGGAGACUAUAGCUAUUCCCAUUUCAGGGAGAUUGAUCUUGCCACGCGUUAUGUUACAUCAAUGUACUUUGCCAUUGUCACCAUGGCAACUGUUGGCUACGGUGACAUUCAUGCUAUAAAUGUUAGGGAAAUGAUAUUUGUCAUGAUUUAUGUUUCCUUUGAUAUGGUUCUUGGUGCUUACCUUAUCGGUAACAUGACUGCAAUGAUUGUGAAAGGCUCGGCAACCGAGCGAUUCAGGGAUAAAAUGAAAGAAGUUAUCAGGUAUAUGAACAGAAAUAGACUUGGAAAGGACAUCAGAGAACAGAUCAAGGGGCAUUUGAGGUUGCAGUAUGAGAGCAGCUGCACUGAAGCCUCUGUACUUCGGGACAUUCCUGUUUCUAUUCGUGCAAAGAUUUCUCAAACACUGUACAUGCCAUACAUUGAAAGGACUCCAUUGUUCAAAGGAUGUUCGGAAGAAUUCCUUCAACAGAUUGUGAUUAGGCUGCAAGAAGAGUUCUUCUUACCAGAAGAAGUUAUUUUGGAGCAAGGGAGUGCGGUUGACCAGUUAUACUUUGUCUGUCAGGGUGCACUGGAAGGUGCUGCCGUUGGCGAAGAUGGUCAAGAGACUAUUCUUAUGUUGGAGCAAGGGAAUUCUUUUGGAGAAAUUGCUAUUCUCUGCAACAUUCCACAGCCCUACACUGUUCGUGUUUGCGAACUUUGCAGGCUCUUACGGUUGGAUAAAGAAUCCUUCGCGCACAUAUUGGAGAUUUAUUUCACUGAUGGAAGAAAACUUUUGAGCAAUCUUACCGAGAGCGAUGAAUACGGCAAACGGGUUAAACACAUAGAAUCAGAUAUCACUUUCCAUAUAGGAAAGCAAGAGGAAGAGCUUACCUUAAGAGUUAAUAACGCCGCUUUUUAUGGCGACCUUCAUCAGUUGACUGGCUUAAUCCGGGCUGGAGCCAAUCCAAAGAAUAGUGAUUAUGAUGGGCGGUCUCCUUUGCAUCUUGCAGCUUCCAGAGGGUAUGAAGAUAUUGUGCAGUUCCUUAUCCAUCAAGGGGCUGAUAUCAAUCUGACUGAUAAAUUUGGGAACACGCCCUUACUAGAGGCGGUGAGGCAGGGGCAUGAUAGAGUGGCCACAUUACUCUUCAGCAAAGGAGCCAAGCUGAACCUCGAGAAUGCCGGUAGCCAUCUCUGCAUAGCAGUAUCGAAGGGAGACUCUGAUUUCAUUCGGGGGGCUCUAGCUUAUGGUGCUGACCCAAACUCGAAAGACUACGACCACCGCAAUCCUCUCCACAUAGCUGCUGCAGAGGGCUUGUAUAUUAUGGCGAAGUUGCUGGUAGAAGCUGGCGCAAGUGUGCUUGCAACAGACAGACGCGGUACUACUCCUCUGGAUGAAGGACACAAGUCCGGGAGUAAGCCACUUAUAAUGCUGCUUGAACAGGCGAAAGCCGACGAGCUCUCCAAGUUCCCCACACGAGGCGAAGAAGUGAGAGAUAAGAUGCAUACACGACGAUGCUCCGUGUUCCCUUACCAUCCAUGGGAUACUGAUGCCAAGCGAAAGGAGGGGGUGAUGUUGUGGAUUCCUCACACUAUCAAUGAACUCAUCGGGUCAGCCCAGGAGAAGCUGGGUUUGUCCAGCUCAUGCAUGCGCUUGCUCUGUCAGGAUGGCGCGACGGUCCAGGAUGUGGACAUGGUCAAUGACGGGCAGAAGCUCUAUCUGGUUGGAGACAAGGACAUGGGUGACAGCGAGUAG
RNAcentral lists this ribosomal RNA (2499 nucleotides) under Triticum aestivum (bread wheat). Its description in RNAcentral is "partial small subunit ribosomal RNA". The record is from RNAcentral. Lineage: Eukaryota; Viridiplantae; Streptophyta; Magnoliopsida; Poales; Poaceae.